UUUACUUGACCUUGAUGGCUCCUCCAUACUUACGCUCAAGGUCAAAGACGUACCACCGUUUGAUGCAUUUGUUGAAACCCUACAACUUGUGUAUCAAAUAUUGUUUCCUAAAAUGUCUCGUUUAUUUGACCGUUUCCAGACUUUUCUAACACCCUGUAUGUAAUGAUACCGUAAAGAUUCGAUAAUUGCGAAACGCUCGGGUUCGUUUCGUUCGUAUCGUACAAUUCCUGCAUUGUUAGAAGUUUGCCGACCGCUUCGAACAUAGAAAAGAACAGCGAAUAGGAAAAAGAACGGAGCGUUCGAGGAGAAAUACAAACCACUAUCACUACUCAUGGCGUUUCAAGGAGUAUACCCCCAGCGGUGGGGAUGAGUUCUUCGCAAUUAUCCAAUAUUUACUGUACUCAUUAUUAGGUAAUUUCUACUUGGCCAUCAUAGGCAAUCCAAGACGGCAAUUCGUGAACUUCUCCACGAGCAUAAAUCGAUGGAUAGCGGAUAUGGUCGCCCGUAUCUGUUUUUUCCGACAGAUAAUAAACUCCAUCGUGUAUCUUCGCAAAAUAUUGAUUCCUGUGAAACUUUGUUCGACCAAGCUAAACAUGGAAGACACUUACAUUUUUAUUAAAAUCGAAUCCUGGCAAACAUGGAAGUAUAGGAUCACGUUGCAUUUUACUUUUUAGGAAAAUAAGAGUUUCACUAAUACAUUAAAUGUACGCAAAUGAAUAAUUAACAGUAACUUUACGACGGAACUUUAUGCUUUACACUUUAUACAUUUGGUACCGAUGUAAGAAUCCAACAUACUUGUAUUUGUUUUGUCUCCUUGGAGAUGAUUUCAUUGGGUUCAUAACAGAAAUAAUUGUAAAAAGUUGCAGUUUGAAAUGCAUAUAAUUAUUAUUAUCAACAAUUAGCAAUAUUAUAUUGGUAGUAUUUUAAACCAAUAGGUACAAAAACAUAUACCAAAAAUUUAAUAUUCAAUACAAUAAUUUAUAUACGGGUGUAUGUUAAUUUCGUAAUUGUUAGUAACAUAUUAUGCUAUCCAUAAAUUGAACAACAUUGUAUAAUGAGAUUCAUUACUUACUAAUAGUGCAAUCAUAAUUUGCAGGUGUACAAGUGUACUGUACAAAUUUGUAGAUAAAUUAACAUUUAAAAUAAAUCAAUGCAUGUUAUAAAUAUUAAUAUACAUAACAAAAAUGUAACAAAAAGAAUAAAAUAAAUUUUAGUUCACAAA
Molecule: long non-coding RNA, 1222 nt
Organism: Osmia lignaria (orchard mason bee)
Lineage: Eukaryota; Metazoa; Arthropoda; Insecta; Hymenoptera; Megachilidae
Source: RefSeq, a predicted model, not a curated record